GGCAACCCCAUGCCCUCAAAGGAGCAAGAGGAAGCAGUAAUCAAGAAAAAGUAUGGAGGGUUGUUACCAAUGAAAAACCCGUUAAUCUCGAAGGACCAUGACCGGGCUUUCUUUGAUUCCGCUGAUUGGGCACUUGUAAAGGAAGCAGUAAUCAAGAAAAAGUAUGGAGGGUUGUUACCGAAGAAAAACCCGUAAUCUCGAAGGACCAUGACUGGGCUUUCUUUGAUUCCGCUGAUUGGGCACUUGGAAAGCAAGGAUAGAAGGCCAAAGGACCGUUAGAAGCCCUCCGCCCGAAAUUACAGCCAACACCGCAACAACAAUCACGUUCAAGGCGCUCAGCUUAUGCCCCCGCAGGUGAAGGCGAAGGUAUUACAAUCGGAUCUUUAAGAACAUUGAAGCAUUUGUUACCGGAAGGAGUCCGGUUGAUUACUCCAGACCACCUGGAGAGGAAUGGUAGCAAGUCGACUUGGUGAGGAGUUACUAGACCCAAAGAUCAAUGAACGACCUUCUUCAAGAGCUUUAAAACGAGUCUUAUUAGUGUGCCUUCGGUGUAUAGAUAUGGAUGCAAGUAAGCGUCCAAAAAUGAGCCAAAUUGUACACAUGCUCGAGGCGGAUGACUUCCCUUUUCGCAAAGAAUCGCGGCCACCUAAAGACCCAAAUAUGCGUCGACCAGAUGCAUUUGCUAGUUCUAAAUGCUUCCCCAAGAUGCUGGUUCUAGCUUGGAAACAAGUAUCCAGAAUAAAUUAAGCGGAUGCACAAGACCUUGGAAUCGCCACUGAACUGCUUCCUUUAAGUAGGCCAAAUGAAGAAUUUAAAGUCUCGCUUUUUUAUGCUGUAUGGGUCGGUGUAUGGGACGAUGGACAGUGGUGUUGGAUGGCAUCGAUGGGACUGAAUGAAGGAUGUCAUGGGUCAAAUGGGCUGAACGGGUUGAAAUAGGUUUUGAGAUCAAAACGAAAGAGUGGUCAUCCUGAUCUUCUCCACUGAUGACACCAACAGCAACCGUUGAAAUCAUCUUCUCCUCUUAAAGAGCUGAUGAUCUUGGGAAGUUACAAUUCUUUGUUUUUUCACAUAUGAUUUUGCUUUGGCGAUUUUAUGAGGAUGUAUUCUGAUUCAUGUCUAUAAAGUGUUUCUAGGGUUUGUUGUUUAGAGACAAAAGUCAUGGCUGGUUCUCCUUAAGAGUUUUCAUUCAUUUCUAAAUACAAAAUGAUUUCUAAUAUAAAAUGCUAAUGGUUCUCCUUAGUAGAACUUUGACUUCUUUCAAGUUAUAAUGAUUUCUAAUAUAAAAUUGCUACACAGGUAUCUUACUGAUGGAGUACUCCUUCGCGAAAGUCUUUCCGACCCGGAGCUUAAACAGUAUUCGUUGAUUAUACUAGAUGAAGCUCAUGAAAGGAGUCUAAAGACGGAUAUAUUAAUGGGGUUGAUGAAGCGGUUGAUUAGACUGCGUGCCUCCAAUUUGAAAGUGUUGAUCACUUCGGCUACACUUGAUGGUGAAAAGAUGCUCUUAAACAAUUGUUUCUGAUUGAUGCUAUAAAUGAAAAUGGCACCAUCACGAGAAUAGGAAAAACUAUGUCAGAGCUUCCUUUGGAACCUUCACUAGCAAGGACUUUGAUCGAGGCAAAUGAGUACGAUUGUUUGACCCAAGCUUUGACUGUAGCUACUAUGUUAUGGGUUGAAGGUACAUUGCUUCCGCCCUUUGAAGAAUGGAGAUGGAGAUGGAGCGGUAGAUGAGUGAUUAGAAUUUGGGGCCGUAUUUGGUAUAAGGGUUUUAAUGGGCCUUCAAAGUCUAACCCAUUAUAAAGGUUAAUUGAAUCAAAUAUAAGGGCUUUAUUGAAUUGUUCAAUAACAUUUGGGUAUUUAAAUUAGGUCAUGUUUUAAUUAUUA
Helianthus annuus (common sunflower) is the source of this 1881-nucleotide long non-coding RNA. RefSeq lists it as uncharacterized. The record is from RefSeq and is a predicted model, not a curated record. Lineage: Eukaryota; Viridiplantae; Streptophyta; Magnoliopsida; Asterales; Asteraceae. The transcript is spliced from 15 exons.